AUAAAAGUGUCAAAGGGUGUGAAUCGAACCCACAGUGUUCCGCUUACCGGGCAGAUGCCAUGUCCACUAGGCACUUUUA
Molecule: transfer RNA, 79 nt
Filed under: Cordylochernes scorpioides
Lineage: Eukaryota; Metazoa; Arthropoda; Arachnida; Pseudoscorpiones; Chernetidae
Description: tRNA-Thr
Source: RNAcentral